This 76-nucleotide transfer RNA is filed under the name Lentisphaerota bacterium. RNAcentral's name for it is "Lentisphaerae bacterium (anaerobic digester metagenome) tRNA-Trp". It matches the Rfam family "tRNA". Rfam says of the family: Transfer RNA (tRNA) molecules are approximately 80 nucleotides in length. Their secondary structure includes four short double-helical elements and three loops (D, anti-codon, and T loops). Further hydrogen bonds mediate the characteristic L-shaped molecular structure. tRNAs have two regions of fundamental functional importance: the anti-codon, which is responsible for specific mRNA codon recognition, and the 3' end, to which the tRNAs corresponding amino acid is attached (by aminoacyl-tRNA synthetases). tRNAs cope with the degeneracy of the genetic code in two manners: having more than one tRNA (with a specific anti-codon) for a particular amino acid; and 'wobble' base-pairing, i.e. permitting non-standard base-pairing at the 3rd anti-codon position. The record is from RNAcentral. Lineage: Bacteria; Pseudomonadati; Lentisphaerota. RNAcentral also lists the same sequence under 11 other names.
AGGUCGGUAGUUCAAUUGGUAGAGCACCGGUUUCCAAAACCGGCUGUUAGGGGUUCGAGUCCCUUCCGACCUGCCA